Molecule: long non-coding RNA, 946 nt
Organism: Apis mellifera (honey bee)
Lineage: Eukaryota; Metazoa; Arthropoda; Insecta; Hymenoptera; Apidae
Exons: 4
Source: RefSeq, a predicted model, not a curated record
AUUAUUUAAUUACAUGUAAAAUUUUAAUUUCUUAAAGAAUUUAUUCGAGUCCUUUAGAUUAGUCGUUUCAUUAGAAUCCACUGCAUUGUGUUUUCUUGUGAAAACGGUGAAGGAAGUUUUAAAUUCUCUAGUGUUUUUAAAUGUGAAAAAAUUCAUCCAAUAUGCACACCGUGAUUGUAUGCACUUUCAACGUACACGGGCAGCCUUAAGAUGUCAUGCAGAAACACGACAGUUAACUUUAAAGCGAUUAAAUUCUAUUCUAUCAUUUAUUUUAUUCUAUCAACGUAAUGAAACGAAGCAAGAAAUUUGAUUACCAGAUAUCGGAACUUUCGGUUCUUUUGUAUCUAAACGUCAACGUGUAUCUAAAAAUAUAAUGGCAGUAAAAUACUAAGCUUGGAUUAAACAUCCAUCAAGUUAAAAUAUUUAUUUUUCUCUUUUCAUUAGAAAAUUAAAACAGAUAGAAUCUAAUAUCAUUAUUUUUAUUCUUCUUCUGUGAUUAUAGUAAACAAGAAUUUGAAGAAAGUUGUGAAUAUUAUAAUUAGUUGAAAUAUUAUAUAAAUAUUAUAUUUAAAAUAUUAUAUUUAGUUGAAAAUGAUUUCAAGCGUAUCAAAAGAACAUUAACAUUAACAUAUCACGUAACAGGAUGAACAAGAUAAAAUGAUAAUCUCGAUAAUCUAACUACGGAUGAUGCGGAUACACAUGUUUCGAGAUGAUAUUUUAACAAUUGAAAGUUAAGAUGGAAAUAGAUUAUAUUUGAAUUCAAUGGCUCAAUUUAGGAUCUACAAUUUUACCACAUAGUAUCAUUGAAAAUUUUGAAGUUGUGUGUGAUCGUUCUUUAUUGAAGGAUAAUAUGAUAUCUAUUUAUAUUUUUAUAUUUUUAUAUUUAAUAUAUUUUUAUAUAUUCAAUGAUAGGCAAUGAUAGAUAUAUAAUAUAUAUAUAAACGGA